Mus musculus (house mouse) is the source of this 8467-nucleotide RNA transcript. It is a transcript of the gene named pre-mRNA processing factor 4B, with no coding region annotated. The record is from RefSeq and is marked validated. NCBI's taxonomy places the organism in Eukaryota, Metazoa, Chordata, Mammalia, Rodentia, Muridae. The transcript is spliced from 16 exons.
AGUGCUUUAUUUAUUUUAUUUUUUAUUUAUUUAUUUUUUGGUUUUUCGAGACAGGGUUUCUCUGUGUAGCCCUGGCUGUCCUGGAACUCACUCUGUAGACCAGGCUGGCCUCGAACUCAGAUCCGCCUGCCUCUACCUCCCGAGUGCUGGGAUUAAAGGCGUGCGCCACCACUGCCCGACAAGAGCAUUUUUAUUACAUUUAUUUUGUGUGUCCGGGCUUAGAAGUGCUUUAUUUUACUCUGUGAAGAAUGGUGUCUGUAAAUCGGAAAUCGGUCUUAUUUCAGUAUCACCAUUAUCUCCAACGUAUUCCUCCCAGAAACAGAAAACUUAAUUCCCAUAUAAAGCAUACCAUAAAGAACAGAAGGUCAAAAGGGGACCUGGCAGAUAUUCUGGCUGUUUAAAUUAGGCCAGGUCUACGAGCUCUCCGCUAGCCAAUCAGCAACAAGGAGAGACACAGCAGGUUUCACCCACUACUGGAUCACAUGGAGAAUCAGCUCUCAGCAAUGCACCCGACCCCUUUCUUUGCUGCUGUCUCCAGCAGGUCCCUACACUUACACACUUACACACUCACACUUACACACAUAACCAGCGCUCUAAGUGAAUCAGGCCUUCUUCUCCCCACGGCCCGCCCCCUAGCCCCGGAAGUUACGUUCCGCGCCCCGCCCCCGGACGCCGAGUUUUUCUAUCCGGAUUCUUAGCGCGGACUCCCGAGUGCCGCUUUUCUCUACGUGCUCCGCACAUGCGCGGCUGCCUGUCCCUUCUUCCUCCGCUUCCACUGGCGUCCACGGUUCGCCGAGCCGCCGCCAGCAUCGCGGAGGAGUCGGGAAGUUCAAGAUGGCCGCCACGGAGCCCCCGUCCCUGCGGGAGCAAGCUGAGAUGGAUGAUGCUGAUAAUUCUGAAAAGAGUGUAAAUGAAGAAAAUGGAGAGGUAUCAGAAGACCAAUCUCAAAAUAAACACAGUCGUCACAAAAAAAAGAAGCAUAAACACAGAAGUAAACAUAAGAAACAUAAACAUUCCUCAGAAGAAGAUAGGGAUAAAAAACACAAACAUAAGCAUAAGCAUAAGAAGCACAAACGGAAAGAAGUUAUCGAGGCUUCCGACAAAGAAGGCCUGUCCCCUGCAAAAAGAACUAAGCUUGAUGAUUUAGCUUUGCUGGAAGACUUGGAAAAGCAGAGAGCCUUGAUUAAAGCUGAGCUUGAUAAUGAGUUAAUGGAGGGGAAGGUCCAGUCUGGAAUGGGGCUCAUUUUGCAAGGCUAUGAGUCUGGCUCCGAAGAAGAAGGAGAGAUUCACGAAAAGGCAAGAAAUGGGAACAGGUCCAGUACCAGGUCUUCCAGUACUCGGGGAAAACUUGAAAUUACGGACAACAAAAAUAGUGCAAAGAAACGAAGUAAGAGCAGAUCCAAAGAACGGACCAGGCACAGAUCGGACAAAAGGAAAAGCAAGGGGGCUGGGGAAAUGCUGAGAGAGAAAGCAAACAGGAGCAAGUCCAAGGAGAGGAGAAAAUCCAAAAGCCCAUCCAAAAGAAGCAAGUCUCAAGACCAAGCUAGAAAGUCAAAGUCCCCUCCACUCAGACGGCGGUCCCAAGAGAAAGUGGGGAAGGCCAGAUCUCCUGCUGAGGAGAAGAUGAAGAGUGAAGAGAAAGGCAAAAUAAAGGAUAGGAAAAAAUCACCAAUUGUAAAUGAAAGGAGUCGAGAUAGAUCUAAAAAAUCCAAGUCCCCAGUUGACUUAAGAGAUAAAUCCAAAGACAGAAGGUCAAGGUCCAAAGAGCGGAAGUCAAAACGAUCUGAAAUUGACAAAGAAAAGAAGCCAAUUAAAUCACCUUCAAAGGAUGCUUCUUCUGGGAAGGAAAAUAGGUCACCCAGUAGAAGACCUGGCCGUAGUCCUAAAAGAAGAAGUUUGUCUCCAAAACUGCGAGACAAGUCAAGAAGAAGUAGGUCUCCGCUUCUCAAUGACAGAAGAUCUAAGCAGAGCAAAUCGCCUUCUCGAACUCUGUCUCCAGGCAGAAGGGCCAAGAGCCGAUCCUUAGAAAGAAAACGGAGAGAACCAGAGAGGAGACGACUUUCUUCUCCGAGAACAAGACCUCGAGAUGAUAUCCUUGGUAGAUGUGAACGGUCAAAAGAUGCCAGCCCCAUCAAUAGGUGGUCUCCAACCCGAAGAAGAAGUAGGUCUCCAAUUAGAAGGAGGUCCCGUUCCCCAUUGAGACGCAGCAGGUCUCCUAGAAGAAGAAGCAGGUCUCCUCGGAGAAGAGAUAGGAGCCGAAGGAGCAGGUCACGCUUGAGGAGAAGGUCUCGAUCACGGGGUGGUCAUAGGAGAAGGAGCAGAAGCAAAGUAAAGGAAGAUAAAUUUAAAGGAAGUCUCUCAGAAGGAAUGAAAGUUGAGCAAGAGUCUUCAUCUGAUGAUAACCUUGAAGAUUUUGAUGUGGAGGAGGAAGAUGAAGAGGCUCUAAUAGAACAGAGAAGAAUACAGAGGCAAGCAAUUGUGCAGAAAUAUAAAUAUCUUGCUGAAGAUAGCAAUAUAUCUGUGCCAUCUGAGCCAAGCAGCCCCCAGAGCAGCACAAGAUCACGAUCUCCUUCGCCAGACGACAUCUUGGAGCGAGUUGCUGCUGAUGUAAAAGAAUAUGAGCGGGAGAAUGUUGACACCUUUGAGGCCUCAGUAAAAGCCAAGCAUAAUCUAAUGACAGUUGAACAGAAUAAUGGCUCAUCUCAGAAGAAGAUUUUGGCACCUGACAUGUUUACAGAAUCUGAUGACAUGUUUGCUGCUUAUUUUGAUAGUGCUCGUCUCCGAGCUGCUGGCAUUGGGAAAGAUUUCAAAGAAAAUCCCAACCUCAGAGAUAAUUGGACAGAUGCAGAAGGCUAUUACCGUGUGAACAUCGGGGAAGUCCUAGAUAAACGUUAUAAUGUGUAUGGCUACACUGGGCAGGGUGUGUUCAGCAAUGUUGUGCGUGCCAGGGAUAAUGCGAGAGCCAACCAGGAAGUGGCUGUAAAGAUCAUCAGGAACAAUGAACUCAUGCAAAAGACUGGUUUAAAAGAGCUAGAAUUCUUGAAAAAACUUAAUGAUGCUGAUCCUGAUGACAAGUUCCAUUGCCUGCGCCUCUUCAGACACUUUUACCACAAACAGCACCUCUGUCUCGUCUUUGAACCUCUCAGUAUGAAUUUGCGAGAGGUAUUAAAAAAAUAUGGUAAGGAUGUCGGUCUCCAUAUUAAGGCUGUACGAUCGUACAGUCAGCAGUUGUUCCUGGCAUUGAAACUCCUUAAAAGAUGUAAUAUCUUACAUGCAGAUAUCAAACCGGAUAAUAUUCUGGUUAAUGAAUCCAAAACAAUUUUAAAACUUUGUGAUUUUGGAUCGGCCUCACAUGUUGCAGAUAAUGACAUUACGCCUUAUCUUGUCAGUAGAUUUUAUCGUGCUCCGGAGAUCACAGCUGCACGAGUUAGCGAGCUCAUCCUCCUCCUCAGGUGGCAUGAAGGUAGUUGUGACAGGAGUCUUGGUCAUGUCGAGCAAGAGUAGCAAACAGUUGUGGAAACCCUCGACUUUAGAAGACUGCUCUUGGUUGUUCAAGUUAUAGGUAAAAGCUAUGACUACGGUAUCGAUAUGUGGUCUGUAGGUUGUACCUUAUAUGAACUCUACACUGGAAAAAUCUUAUUCCCUGGCAAAACUAAUAACCAUAUGUUGAAGCUCGCCAUGGACCUUAAAGGAAAAAUGCCAAAUAAGAUGAUCCGGAAAGGUGUAUUCAAAGAUCAACAUUUUGACCAAAAUCUGAACUUCAUGUACAUAGAGGUUGAUAAAGUGACAGAGAGGGAGAAAGUUACUGUCAUGAGCACCAUUAAUCCAACUAAGGACCUGUUGGCUGACUUGAUUGGGUGCCAGCGACUUCCUGAAGAUCAACGUAAAAAAGUACACCAGCUAAAGGACUUGUUGGACCAGAUCCUAAUGUUGGACCCAGCUAAGCGAAUUAGCAUCAACCAGGCCCUGCAGCAUGCAUUCAUCCAGGAAAAAAUUUAAAUGAGAUGAAGAAACUCCAAGGGUUUGAGUAAUUAAAUACAAAGACUGAAGAAAUUUCACAGCAGUUUAUUAUUAAUGUAUAUAAACUUAUAAAUAUUUCUGCAGCAAAUUUGAGGAAGCAUGAUAUAUUUGAAUUAACACCGAGGGUGAUAUUUCUUUUAGAAAUGUUAGUUAAUCUGUUUUGUGUCUUAUGUGAAAUUUCACUGUAGAAAUGUUUUAAUUGCCAAGACUGCACAGAAUUACAGUGCUAAUGUAUAUGGUUGCAGUUCACAUAAAAGACAAAAGCGUCUGUUAUGAGUGGCAGUGCUGGGUGGUUGAUUUGUUUUUAGCAGACUUGGCUUCAGUUUGCUCUUCAGAUACAAUGGCCAGCAUAAAUGCUGUUUAUAUUCACGUUUUCCUAGGUGUGUGUGUGCAGGCCACAGCAGCAUGCCCUUGGUGUAGUCAGUGCCGAAGGGAGUCUGUUCCUUCUUGAGCCUGCCUGCAGGGAUGUCUCCUCUUUUAAAGCAGGUUGUGUACAACAUUCAGUACACUGAAGGUAAGCUAAACCAUCAACAUCACCAGUGUUUUAGAUGUUAUUUUAUUGGAAUAACUGAAAAUGAGGGAUAGCUUUGUGGCAGAAUUCCCUGCAUGUGUGAUAACUGAUCUUGUUUUAUUUUUUCGCAUCGCAACUGUGGCAUAGUUACAGUUUCUGUUCUGUCAUCACAUUUAAAAUUGGAAGCAUAUGCGCUUGAUGGAUAGAGCGCCUUCAGUGUACUGUUUCUUAUCAACUUUACUUUUUUUUAAAUCAACUUGCUAUAGACUUUAUACAUUUUGUUAAAUACAGUUCUUAGUGACAUAGAGACUGCAUAGUUUUCAUUUACUAAUUAAAAUGUUGAGGCCUACUUCUGAAAGUCCUCAUAUUUAAAAGAUAGACAACAUAAUGAGAUUUUUAACUAUUUGUAUGUCAUUUUGAAAGUGUACUGCUUUAUGGUAAAAGUGUUUUUCAUUUGUUCAUUGUUUGCAUUAUUUGUGAUCAUGUUGUCUUUCAAUACAGGCAUAAACCUUCCACUCUUGAACAAAGCAGCUGCUUUUUAAAAGCGGUAAUUGCUUCUUUACCUUUUAUUUCUUUUGUAAAUGAAGCUUUUCUUUUAAAAUGUGACUUUAAAGUGUUGUCUAUUGCAUAAACAGUUGACACUCACUUACUGUAAUGAGAAGAUUGUUCUGCAUGGGAAGUGGGCCGUGCAGAUCUCUGUAUGUUCUCAGUAUGCAUCACUAGAUAAUAAAGUCUUUUGUGAACAAGGCAUUUGUAGCCAUUUUUAAAAGAUUUUGUCUUCAGUGCUGGUAAGUCAGGUAAACUGUAAAUAGUUAAAGCAGUCUUUGUUUUUCUCCUGAAAGGAUUACCUGCUAAAGAUGUAACUCAGUAUAGCCUUAUUUCUAAAUUGUUUUUAAUAAUUAAGGUCUUAAUUAUUUCAUCCAGAAAAAGUUCUUCAAAUUUUGUCAGCUUUCAGUGUAGUGAGGUUAUUCCUCAGUGUAGUAGGUUAUGGGGUCUAACUCAGGAUUUAACUAAUGUUUCUGCUAUUUUCUCACUUUUCCUUUUGAUGGUGCGGAAAGAGAAAAAGGAAAACGGGGCACAGGCCAUUCGACGCCUUCUCCAAGGGGUCUGAUUUGCUGAGACACCAGCUUCACCUUCUUAACAAGGUUAUUUCUGACAGCAUGUGUAGAUAAACAUUUAGCAGCAAUUUAAAACAAAAUCAUGUAAAUCGGCUUGGUUUUGCGACACAAAGGAUUGUGUAUGUUUAAGAUGGUAGAGAGGAUUUUUAAAUCCUGUGUAAUCUUUACUGUUUGGGAGUGGGUCAACUCACUGUUUGUCUCCCUGAGGAUUAGGGAGGACAGUAACAUCUGGGGGUUUAAAUAGUAAUUUUACAUUGUAAAUGGGAUUUUUUUAUUCACCCAGGCACCUAAUUACAACAAGCAUGCACAUUUUGGUGCAUUCAAGAAUGGAAUAUCAGAAUAGCAGCAUUCUCCUGGUGGGUUAUGCUCCAUUUAAAGACAUGAAAUGAACUACACAGCCAGGAAGGUGAUAGAUGAGAUAAUAAACCACCUCUGAACCUACACCCGUCUCCUCAUGGUUAGACUUACUAAAAUAAACACACGGCAGUUUCCAGCUACAGGUAGAGUGAGGCCUUUUAAACAAGGCAUCACGGGCGCAGCGUCCACCUUAACGAUAUGGGUAGGGAUUUUCCCACCAUGCUUACUUUACUUUGGUGCUAAUAUGCUGCAUAUUCAGGUCUUUUAUAGUUGUUUUCACUCAAAAUAGUAACUGCUUUCUUCUGAUGAUUUUCCUGGCUUCAUUUUGUAGUUAUUUAAUAAGUUGAUUUCCACUAGAAACAGUUCAUCUUAUGCCUUCAAAGCUUUUGCUUGCUCUUUAAAAACACAAAGUUGCUUGUUACUUGUUCUUUGUGUUUUAGGUGCAGAUCACUGGAAGAUGACGGCAGCCAGAAGACAUGAGCCAAGGUUUCUGUCCCAUAAAAGAUCUUUUCAGUUCUCAUUUAGUGUGUGUCUGACUUGUAGUUUCAGCGUUACAGUUUGGGUUUCAUUGCUGUGGUAUAAGAACAGUGCUGUUGUGCCCAUCUGUAAAGUGCUCCUUGUAUAUCAUAGUUCCUGCAGCUACAGCCUUCCUCGAAAGUAAAAAGCAAGUUUAGUCCUAAAAAGCCCACAUUUCAUAGCUGUCAGAAUUAGGUCCUGAAGAUCACUAAGAAAAAAAAAUAGCUGCCAGGUUAGUGUACAUUUGAAAAUAACCUGCAAGUUGCAUGUGCUAGCCACACCUGUAACCUCAGCACGCUUGGAGUGGAGGCAGAAGGAUGUGGGGUUCAAGGUCUGCCUGGCCUAUCAGAGCUCUUUUUUUUUAAUGCUUUGGCUUUAAGCAGGUGCCUAAAUCAUAAAAGUAGCCUAGGUUUAACAAGCUGGUCAACGCCUUUAAUAGCUGUGCUUUGUUUUAGUUCGUUGUGACCAACUUUUUAGUGUCAGAGACAUAAAAUAGUAAUGGCAGGUGUUGUGGAGGUGAGAAAGGCGGUACUAUACCAUCAUCUUCCCGACCUUUAAGGAACCGGGGAGCUGCACUAGAGAAACGUCCUUCUGUUUGAUGUGGUAAUGUCACUGAGGUAGAGUUUGCAGUUGUGUAAGACCUCUCUUAGGUUGAGGUCAGUUGUGAAUGAUCCUAUUGGACAGACCUGCGUUCAUGUUUCUGAUUAGCUGAAAAGUCUUCAGGGGAAGCUGACAGGAAGUUUACGCUUUCAUACUUUAUAGCAGAAAUGACAAGAGAUCACCAAGCCUGAGGGCCAUAAAACUUUUUUGUGUUUAGGAAAUUUUUAAAGGCAAAUUUAUGUUCUUCUUAGGAAAUAAAGAAUACCAAGAUAUGUGGAUAUUCACGUAAUCACUAUAUACAUGGGCAAUUAGUCCAAAGACCUUCUAACAUUAUUCUGGGCAGUCCAUGCACUCACCUUGAGGAGGGUUCAGAAACUCUUAAGCAUUUUUUCUGGGGUCAAAGGAGGAGCAGGCAGCCAGGAAGCGUUCGUCAUGAUAGGCCUCUUGGCAGACUUGUUCUCCAGGACCUUCAGAUAUGAGGGACUUGGGCAGUUCUGAAGAGGAGCAGCAUUCUGUUAGAAACGAGGACCUUCCGGUGUUUGUAUUUACGCUCAAGUCCUGAUUAACAACGUUCUGUUUCUUCAUUCCCAGUGGCUACUUCCUCAGCUAUUUUAUUUUUAAAAGACAAUGUGAUUUUUAUUUUACCAUUGCAAUUACCAUCUUUUUUUUCCCCCCGUAACAAGAUUAAAUUUCUCAGGACACUUUUGGGAUACAAAAUACAUAUUUUAUGGUAUGUAGCAGAGUUAGUGAAAUGUAAUGUUCUCAUUUUGGCCCCAGAUUUGCAUUUCUUCUAGUCUACUCUGGCAUCAUAGGGAGAAAUAGACUCGGAAAUGAAACAAAGGAAUUACAUGUGUUAAAAUUUAAAUUAUUUAGGAAAUGAGUGUGUAUUUUUUGGAUAAGAUUGUAUAGUGAGAUGUGACAAUAUCUCCUUAUGGUAGCAUUUGGGCCCUAUAGGUAAUAUUUUGUGGCUCUUAUACAUUCAACAUGAAUUUAUUCUACAUGCAAUGUCCUAAUAUAAAUGUUCACUGCAAAUCAUUUGUAAUUUUUCCAUGUCAGUGUUGAAUACAGUUGACUAAGAUUUGGGAUUUUUUGUUUUUUGUUUGUUUUGGGGCUUCCUUGCCAUACCAUUGUAGCAUCCUUACUUUUUCUUCUUCUGUGUAUAGGGUAAGGGACUGUUCUUCUGAAGAGCCAUUCCAUUUAGUGAUCAAGAUACGGAAGCUGACCUAAGAAAAUGUUGUGUAUUCUAAUUGUUCUUGAUACCAUUUGAGUUGUAACUUACGUUGUAGCAGCAAAUGAUCCCAAACUACUUAAUAGGAAGCUUAAUAAAGUGUGCCUCUUGCUACCA